UACGUAGGGGGCAAGCGUUGUCCGGAAUUACUGGGCGUAAAGGGCUCGUAGGCGGCCAACUAAGUCGGAUGUGAAAUCCCCAGGCUUAACCUGGGAACUGCAUCCGAUACUGGAUGGCUUGAAUCCGGGAGAGGGAUGCAGAAUUCCAGGUAUAGCGGUGAAAUGCGUAGAUAUCUGGAGGAAUACCGGUGGCGAAGGCGGCAUCCUGGACCGGCAUUGACGCUGAUGAGCGAAAGCUAGGGGAGCAAACGGG
RNAcentral lists this ribosomal RNA (253 nucleotides) under uncultured bacterium. RNAcentral describes it as "partial 16S ribosomal RNA". It matches the Rfam family "Bacterial small subunit ribosomal RNA", at positions 524 to 776 of the family's 1533-position model. The record is from RNAcentral.